GCUAAGGUGUUUCUAAACACCACCAAACCAUAAACAAGAAAAGAUU
RNAcentral lists this non-coding RNA (46 nucleotides) under Helianthus annuus (common sunflower). RNAcentral describes it as "sRNA HanXRQr2_Chr12g0564161". It matches the Rfam family "Histone 3' UTR stem-loop". Rfam says of the family: The mRNAs of metazoan histone genes lack a poly-A tail. 3' end processing occurs at a site between a highly conserved stem-loop (modelled by this family) and a purine rich region around 20 nts downstream (the histone downstream element, or HDE). The record is from RNAcentral. Lineage: Eukaryota; Viridiplantae; Streptophyta; Magnoliopsida; Asterales; Asteraceae.